Molecule: non-coding RNA, 28 nt
Filed under: Rattus norvegicus (Norway rat)
Lineage: Eukaryota; Metazoa; Chordata; Mammalia; Rodentia; Muridae
Source: RNAcentral
UUCAUAACUCGAAUAUUCCACAGGGCCU